AUUGAACGCUGGCGGCAUGCCUUACACAUGCAAGUCGAACGGCAGCACGGGUGCUUGCCCCUGGUGGCGAGUGGCGAACGGGUGAGUAAUACAUCGGAACAUGUCCUGUAGUGGGGGAUAGCCCGGCGAAAGCCGGAUUAAUACCGCAUACGAUCUACGGAUGAAAGCGGGGGACCUUCGGGCCUCGCGCUAUAGGGUUGGCCGAUAGCUGAUUAGCUAGUUGGUGGGGUAAAGGCCUGCCAAGGCGACGAUCAGUAGCUGGUCUGAGAGGACGACCAGCCACACUGGGACUGAGACACGGCCCAGACUCCUACGGGAGGCAGCAGUGGGGAAUUUUGGACAAUGGGCGAAAGCCUGAUCCAGCAAUGCCGCGUGUGUGAAGAAGGCCUUCGGGUUGUAAAGCACUUUUGUCCGGAAAGAAAUCCUUGGCUCUAAUACAGUCGGGGGAGGACGGUACCGGAAGAAUAAGCACCGGCUAACUACGU
RNAcentral lists this ribosomal RNA (485 nucleotides) under uncultured bacterium. RNAcentral's name for it is "partial 16S ribosomal RNA". It matches the Rfam family "Bacterial small subunit ribosomal RNA", at positions 30 to 506 of the family's 1533-position model. The record is from RNAcentral.